Long non-coding RNA from Prosopis cineraria, 1143 nucleotides. RefSeq lists it as uncharacterized. The transcript is spliced from 7 exons. The record is from RefSeq and is a predicted model, not a curated record. Lineage: Eukaryota; Viridiplantae; Streptophyta; Magnoliopsida; Fabales; Fabaceae.
AAAAAAAAACCGAAAGAAACAUUCAGAUUCGCAAGCAAAGAAAUAACGAGCAGGAAAGCAUUCCAGAAGAUCUCUCUGCAACACAUCUAAUCCUUCUCUUUCAUUCAAUAAUCACUGUGUUCUAAGAAAAUUUUUUCGGUAACCUAUGAUACUGAUGGGAAGCUGCCUCAAGUUCUAGUCCUCUGAGUAUAGUCUAAUCCAUGAAGGCCAGCUCUCAAAAUUAGGAAAAGAGAUUAAAUCUGCUACAGAUGAAAACAAUAGGGGAUGUUAUAGAGGCUCUGUGAUUUCUAGGCCACCAAAGAGGAUGAUCAAUUGAUCCCAAUUCUUCUGAUAAAAGCUAGAAUGAAAUUCAUCAGGACCAGGAGCACUAUUCUUUGGAAGUCCAAAAACCGUAUUCUUGGUUUCCUCUAAGGUACUGUCAUCUUUCAUCAAGGAUUGGACAUAAUUCCUCAUUCGUCUUCUACUAACCACAAAAUGAAAAUAUUUGAGAAAAGAAUGGGUGAAUGAUCUGAAGCACCUAGAGCCAGAGUAAUCACGUUGGAGUGAGGAAAUUGUGAAAUCCAUUCAGUAUUGCAGACAGCCAGAUCCAACCUUUCCUUAACAUUUGCUAGCCCUUGCCUCAUGUUUGACCAGUAAAUUUUAGGUGAUUUUCAAAGAGGCAAAUCUGAAAACACAUGAAGGGAAAAGAGAAGAAGGGCAGGUCAGCUAGCACAAGCCAUUUUAGCUCAGUGGAAGGUGAUUUUAAUCGAUAACUUAACGGGACCAAACAGUGAUCAGGGCAAGGGGAGAGAGAUAGGACCAGCAUAGUGGUGUCAUUGUUGUGAAAGUCUCUGAGAUUGUAUAAUGGACUGAAAACUUGGGUAUAUAUGGGUAUAUGAGUUGCCAUAGGAUUGCAUGCAUGUUUUGAAUAGUGACUUUGUGAAAUCUUAACCCAAUUAUCUGUAUAUGUGAUGAAAUGAAUCAAGAGUAAAGAUUUAGGUGUAUAUGUGUUGAUUUGUUGUACAUAUUGGUGAAUCUUAAGCCUAAGUGUGAAAUUAUGAUAAAAUGAGUGAUUUGAUGUUAAGAUUGAGUAAUACAUAUGUUAUAAAUGUGAAUAUAUGUGAUUAUGUUGAGAAAAAGGCUAAGUGAGCCAAGUUGUACCAA